CAGGACGAACGCUGGCGGCGUGCCUAAUACAUGCAAGUCGAACGAACUCUGGUAUUGAUUGGUGCUUGCAUCAUGAUUUACAUUUGAGUGAGUGGCGAACUGGUGAGUAACACGUGGGAAACCUGCCCAGAAGCGGGGGAUAACACCUGGAAACAGAUGCUAAUACCGCAUAACAACUUGGACCGCAUGGUCCGAGUUUGAAAGAUGGCUUCGGCUAUCACUUUUGGAUGGUCCCGCGGCGUAUUAGCUAGAUGGUGGGGUAACGGCUCACCAUGGCAAUGAUACGUAGCCGACCUGAGAGGGUAAUCGGCCACAUUGGGACUGAGACACGGCCCAAACUCCUACGGGAGGCAGCAGUAGGGAAUCUUCCACAAUGGACGAAAGUCUGAUGGAGCAACGCCGCGUGAGUGAAGAAGGGUUUCGGCUCGUAAAACUCUGUUGUUAAAGAAGAACAUAUCUGAGAGUAACUGUUCAGGUAUUGACGGUAUUUAACCAGAAAGCCACGGCUAACUACGUGCCAGCAGCCGCGGUAAUACGUAGGUGGCAAGCGUUGUCCGGAUUUAUUGGGCGUAAAGCGAGCGCAGGCGGUUUUUUAAGUCUGAUGUGAAAGCCUUCGGCUCAACCGAAGAAGUGCAUCGGAAACUGGGAAACUUGAGUGCAGAAGAGGACAGUGGAACUCCAUGUGUAGCGGUGAAAUGCGUAGAUAUAUGGAAGAACACCAGUGGCGAAGGCGGCUGUCUGGUCUGUAACUGACGCUGAGGCUCGAAAGUAUGGGUAGCAAACAGGAUUAGAUACCCUGGUAGUCCAUACCGUAAACGAUGAAUGCUAAGUGUUGGAGGGUUUCCGCCCUUCAGUGCUGCAGCUAACGCAUUAAGCAUUCCGCCUGGGGAGUACGGCCGCAAGGCUGAAACUCAAAGGAAUUGACGGGGGCCCGCACAAGCGGUGGAGCAUGUGGUUUAAUUCGAAGCUACGCGAAGAACCUUACCAGGUCUUGACAUACUAUGCAAAUCUAAGAGAUUAGACGUUCCCUUCGGGGACAUGGAUACAGGUGGUGCAUGGUUGUCGUCAGCUCGUGUCGUGAGAUGUUGGGUUAAGUCCCGCAACGAGCGCAACCCUUAUUAUCAGUUGCCAGCAUUAAGUUGGGCACUCUGGUGAGACUGCCGGUGACAAACCGGAGGAAGGUGGGGAUGACGUCAAAUCAUCAUGCCCCUUAUGACCUGGGCUACACACGUGCUACAAUGGAUGGUACAACGAGUUGCGAACUCGCGAGAGUAAGCUAAUCUCUUAAAGCCAUUCUCAGUUCGGAUUGUAGGCUGCAACUCGCCUACAUGAAGUCGGAAUCGCUAGUAAUCGCGGAUCAGCAUGC
This 1366-nucleotide ribosomal RNA is filed under the name Lactiplantibacillus plantarum. Its description in RNAcentral is "bacterial SSU rRNA". It matches the Rfam family "Bacterial small subunit ribosomal RNA", at positions 25 to 1357 of the family's 1533-position model. Lineage: Bacteria; Bacillati; Bacillota; Bacilli; Lactobacillales; Lactobacillaceae. The record is from RNAcentral.